GUGAGGAAUUUUCCGCAAUGGGCGAAAGCCUGACGGAGCAAUGCCGCGUGAAGGAUGAAGGCCUAUGGGUUGUAAACUUCUUUUCUUAGAGAAGAAUAUUGACGGUAUCUGAGGAAUAAGCUUCGGCUAACUCUGUGCCAGCAGCCGCGGUAAGACAGAGGAUGCAAGCGUUAUCCGGAAUGAUUGGGCGUAAAGCGUCUGUAGGUGGAUUCAAAAGUCUCCUGUCAAAGAUCAGGGCUUAAACCUGGGCCGGCAGUAGAAGCUCUGAGGCUAGAGUUGGGUAGGGGCAGAGGUAAUUCCCGGUGGAGCGGUGAAAUGCGUAGAGAUCGGGAGGAGCACCAAAGGCGAAAGCACUCUGCUGGGCCACAACUGACACUGAGAGACGAAAGCGAGGGGAGCAAAAGGGAUUAGAUACCCCUGUAGUCC
This 426-nucleotide ribosomal RNA is filed under the name uncultured bacterium. RNAcentral's name for it is "partial 16S ribosomal RNA". It matches the Rfam family "Bacterial small subunit ribosomal RNA", at positions 354 to 796 of the family's 1533-position model. The record is from RNAcentral.